GGGACUUCCGUCGUCGUCCUCGGACCAUCACUUUGGCAUUUCUCGAUUUUGUCUGCUUCUGAAGGGACCGCGUUGUCAGGCGAGGGACGGAAUCUUGGAGGCUCCCUGGGCCCAUGGAAACAGGAGCGAGGAAGGCACGAGAGUCGGGGAAGUUCCGCCUUCUUGACAUACAAGCGCCCCCACCGCGGCGAAUAUCGCCCCUGAGCCCAGUGUUCGCCCCCCACAACACCGCACCCCCCUUCCCCACCCUGUGCCUUAGAUAAAGCCGGCCCAGUGGGACCCUCAGGUUGCACCGCGCGGAGGUGUCCGCGGCUCUCGGGAGUCGUCGCCCUUGGCGUUAUGUUGGCUUUAGGGAGCGCGAGGCCGAGGCCAAGAAAAGCUACGCAUUGGGAGGUCUUGACCCAGUGUGCGCCCGGCUGUAGGCAUGGAACGUGCGCCAAAGGUCUCCUGGCACCCACUCCGCUGGACUCAGCACCAUUGUCCUAAGUCUCCGAUUGAGAAGUAUCUGCCCCAGGUCCUCUGCGGGCCCCACUGAACAGUGUGGAGCGUUCACAGGUUGGGGGUCACCAUUUCAGAAUCCAGUUUGUUGAGACGUGGAGGGUACAGGAGGAGGGAUCUGCAUAUGCGAAGACUUGGACUUGACCCUGACCUGAGCGUUCAGGCAGGCUCUCAUGCCCCCUUGGCAGCGAGUGGAGAGCGUAAGAGGAGUCCUGCCUCUCCUGGCACACCGAGGGCGCCUGGGAGCCAUGAAAGGUGUUGAACAGAAAAGGGAUGGACAUGACCUGAGUUAGAAUUUGGAAAGUAUUUCAGUGGUUGCUGAAUGAACACACUACUGGAGAAGGUGGUUGUAGUGGGGCUGGAAGCAGGGAGACUGUGGGGGAGGUUAUUGCAGUAUUGUUCCAGACAGUUAUGAUAGUGGCCUGUCCAGAACGGAAGCAAGAAGGAUGGGAGAAGUGAUCAGAUUCCCAGUGGAUCUUCAAGAUAGAGCUAAUGGAAUUUUUUGCUACCUUAGAUAAGUGGAAUAAGCAUGAGUAGGGGUGAAGGACCAUCCCAAGUAGUUAGGAAGAAUUAGGAUGCCUCCUGUGGAGAAUAGAGGUUGGCAGUUGGCAGGAGGAGGAUGUUUCAUGGAAGAUUAGCGAUGGAUUUUGUAGGUAUAGAGUCUGAAUUGUCUGGAGACCUGUGAGUGGAGGUGUCAAAUGGGCCUCUGGAUAUAUAGAAUUCUGGUGUGGCUUCAGGACGUCCAGACUGCAUUAUGUUGGUGGCCUGGCCCAGUGAACGGCCUGAGGAUAGGAUUUGGGAAGGAGGGUUUUAGGUUGGAGGACCAGUGGCUAGGGCUCACGCUCAGUGCUUAGAUCACAUCUGUCUGCCCAUUGGCUUGGUGUUGCAGGGCUUAAUGACCUUUGAGGACAGGGUCAGUACAUCUUCCAAGAAUGUGGGGCUCCUUAGUGAGGUCCAAGGGGGCUUCUACAGUGACAUGAUACUACAGAGCUUUGUACUCCAGUGCCCACUAGGUAAGGCUACUGUGUCUCCUCUUUCCCCUACACAUGAAAUCUAGGUUUUCCUCCGCCUUUCCAUUGUUCCCUCUGGGAGGUGCUGCUGGCCCUGGCACUGGCCAGUGUCCUGCUGUGUCCGGAAUUGUUUCCUUCCUCUGGGUUCUUGGUCUCGCUGACUUCAAGAAUAAAGCCGCGGACCCUCGUGUUGAGUGUUACAGUUCUUUUUUUUUUUUUUUUUUGAGACGGAGUCUCGCUCUGUCGCCCAGGCCGGACUGCGGACUGCAGUGGCGCAAUCUCGGCUCACUGCAAGCUCCGCUUCCCGGGUUCACGCCAUUCUCCUGCCUCAGCCUCCCGAGCAGCUGGGACUACAGGCGCCCGCCACCGCACCCGGCUAAUUUUUUUUUUUUGUAUUUUUAGUAGAGACGGGGUUUCACCUUGUUAGCCAGGAUGGUCUCGAUCUCCUGACCUCAUGAUCCACCCGCCUCGGCCUCCCAAAGUGCUGGGAUUACAGGCGUGAGCCACCGCGCCCGGCCCUGUUACAGUUCUUAAAGAUGGUGUGUCCGGAGUUUGUUCCUUCAGAUGUUCAGAUGUGUCUGGAGUUUUUUCCUUCUGGUGGGUUCGUGGUCUUGCUGACUUCAGGAGUGAAGCUGCAGACCUUCGCAGUGAGUGUUACAGCUCUUAAAGGUGGCACAUCCAGAGUUGUUCAUUCCUCCUGGUGGGUUCGUGGUCUCGCUGACCUCAGGAGUGAAGCUGCAGACCUUUGCAAUGAGUGUUACAGCUCGUAAAGGUGGCGUGUCCAAUGUUGUUUGUUCCUCCCAGUGGGUUUGUGGUCUCGCUGGCUUCAGGAGUGAAGCUGCAGACCUUUGUGGUGAGUGUUAUAGCUCAUAAAGGUAGUGUGGACCCAAAGAGUGAGCAGCAGCAAGAUUUAUUGCGAAGAGCAAAAGAAUAAAGCUUCUACAGCAUGGAAGAGGACCCGCGGGUUGCCGCUGCUGGCUUGGGUGGCCAGCUUUUAUUCUAUUUGGCCCUGCCCACAUCCUGCUGAUUGGUCCAUUAUACAGAGCACUGAUUGGUCCAUUUUACAGAGCACUGAUUGGUCCAUUUUACAGAGCACUGAUUGGUCCAUUUUUACAGAGUGCUGAUUGGUGAGUUUACAAACCUAUAGCUAGACACAGAGUGCUGAUUGGUGCAUUUACAAUCCUUUAGCUAGACAGAAAAGUUUUCCAAGUCCCCAGCCAAUUAGCUAGACACAGAGCGCUGAUUGGUGCGUUUACUAACCUUUAGGGAGACACAGAGCGCUGAUUGGUGCAUUUUUACAGAGUGCUGAUUGGUGCGUUUACAAACCUUUAGCUAGACACAGAGCGCUGAUUGGUGUGUUGGCAGUCCUUUAGCCGGACAGAAAAGUUCCCCAAGUCCCCACUGGACCCAGAAGCCCAGCCGGCUUCACUUUUCACUGCUACUUAUCCCUGGCUGCUGCAUAAACAACCCCCACACCUUCCCUGGGAUCUUGACAACCUUGUGAAGCCACAGUGAUGGUCCCUGCACCCACUCCCACGCCCUUGUCCAGCUCUAGAGGCCUCCUGUAGCCCAACCCACAAGCCACAAAAUGAGGACCAUCAUGGCGGUGCCGGAAAUCUCACCCCUCAAUGCCCACCUGGAAUCGGAAGUCUCAAAACCUGUGUAGCAUAUCACAUGCAGCUGGGUCGUUUCCUGGCUAGGUUACCCUGUCAGGAUCUGUGACUUUUCUGUCCUUUCUGCCACAUUCCCUCACUCUAGUAGGAGUUUUCUGCCAGCUGUCCCUUGUGAGUCCCAGUGGGCACUGACAUGGUCAUUGAUUGUGGGGUCACUGAGCAUUGACUUUGUGAAGUUCAGUUCUUUCCAGCUAUAUACCUGCAUAGGUGAUCUUCACCUACGGUGAUUUGUCAUGGGGUGGAUCACCUUGACGUGGGCUGCCUUCUCACAAACCACUUGAUGAGAGCUGUAUAGGAUCACUGCCACCACCCCCGCCAUGUGAUCACCUAACUAGAACAAAUGAAGAGACCUGGCUGGUGGACAGGGUGGCUUGAAUUAGGCCAUGGACAGAGAGGCCCCAUGGUGCACCAGUUCUGUUGAGUGGAAGACAGCUGUGGCAGAGCUGUUGGCAGUGCCCUGGUGGCUCACCUGGUACCUGAGUUGUGCCCUCUGUUGUCCUGGCACCAGGAUGUAUAGCUGUGCCUUUUAAAAAAAAUUUUCCUGACCUUCUUCUGACACUCUAUCCUACUUUGCCCUGACUCCUGUUCCCUGGAUGGCUUCCUCUCUGUCUUCCAAGAUUCACUCUUUCCCCUUCUCCCGUCCUCCCCUCCAGUGGCCAGGUCUUCUACCAUUGGCCUCCCUUUAAUGUGUCUUGAACGGAUAAUGUAUCUUUAAAUAGUUGUUAUCUGCACAUGGUGGCUCAUAACUACAGUCCCAACUACUUGGGAUGCUGAGGCAGGAGGAGCGCUUGAGACCAGGAGUUUGAGUCCAGCUUGGGCAACAUAACGAGAUCCUAUCUCUAAAAUAAAUAAAUAAAUACAUAGAUACCUAAA
This 4054-nucleotide long non-coding RNA is filed under the name Homo sapiens (human). Its description in RNAcentral is "ZNF132 divergent transcript (ZNF132-DT)". Lineage: Eukaryota; Metazoa; Chordata; Mammalia; Primates; Hominidae. The record is from RNAcentral.